GACGAACGCUGGCGGCGUGCUUAACACAUGCAAGUCGAACGGAAAGGCCUCUUUCGGGGGGUACUCGAGUGGCGAACGGGUGAGUAACACGUGAGUAACCUGCCCUUGACUUUGGGAUAACUUCAGGAAACUGGGGCUAAUACCGGAUAGGAGCUCCUGCUGCAUGGUGGGGGUUGGAAAGUUUCGGCGGUUGGGGAUGGACUCGCGGCUUAUCAGCUUGUUGGUGGGGUAGUGGCUUACCAAGGCGUUGACGGGUAGCCGGCCUGAGAGGGUGACCGGCCACCUUGGGACUGAGAUACGGCCCAGACUCCUACGGGAGGCAGCAGUGGGGAAUAUUGCACAAUGGGUGGAAGCCUGAUGCAGCAACGCCGUGUGCGGGAUGACGGCCUUCGGGUUGUAAACCGCUUUCGCUCAUGACGAAGCUUUGUGUGACGGUAGUGGGUAAAGAAGCACCGGCUAACUACGUG
This 467-nucleotide ribosomal RNA is filed under the name uncultured bacterium. RNAcentral's name for it is "partial 16S ribosomal RNA". It matches the Rfam family "Bacterial small subunit ribosomal RNA", at positions 28 to 507 of the family's 1533-position model. The record is from RNAcentral.